This 484-nucleotide ribosomal RNA is filed under the name uncultured bacterium. RNAcentral's name for it is "partial 16S ribosomal RNA". It matches the Rfam family "Bacterial small subunit ribosomal RNA", at positions 30 to 507 of the family's 1533-position model. The record is from RNAcentral.
AUUGAACGCUGGCGGCAGGCCUAACACAUGCAAGUCGAGCGGAUGAAGGGAGCUUGCUCCUGGAUUCAGCGGCGGACGGGUGAGUAAUGCCUAGGAAUCUGCCUGGUAGUGGGGGAUAACGUCCUGAAACGGGCGCUAAUACCGCAUACGUCCUGAGGGAGAAAGUGGGGGAUCUUCGGACCUCACGCUAUCAGAUGAGCCUAGGUCGGAUUAGCUAGUUGGUGGGGUAAAGGCCUACCAAGGCGACGAUCCGUAACUGGUCUGAGAGGAUGAUCAGUCACACUGGAACUGAGACACGGUCCAGACUCCUACGGGAGGCAGCAGUGGAGAAUAUUAGACAAUGGGCGAGAGCCUGAUCCAGCCAUGCCGCGUGUGUGAAGGAGGUCUUCGGAUUGUAAAGCACUUUAAGUUGGGAGGAAGGGCAGUAAGUUAAUACCUUGCUGUUUUGACGUUACCAACAGAAUAAGCACCGGCUAACUUCGUG